AUGAACGCUGGCGGCGUGCCUAAUACAUGCAAGUCGAGCGAACAGAUGAGGAGCUUGCUCCUCUGACGUUAGCGGCGGCCGGGUGAGUAACCCGUGGAUAACCUACCUAUAAGACUGGGAUAACUUCGGGAAACCGGAGCUAAUACCGGAUAAUAUAUUGAACCGCAUGGUUCAAUAGUGAAAGACGGUUUUGCUGUCACUUAUAGAUGGAUCCGCGCCGCAUUAGCUAGUUGGUAAGGUAACGGCUUACCAAGGCAACGAUGCGUAGCCGACCUGAGAGGGUGAUCGGCCACACUGGACCGGAGACACGGUCCAGACUCCUGAGGGAGGCAGCAGUAGGGAAUCUUCCGCAGUGGGCGAAAGCCUGACGGAGCAACGCCGCGUGAGUGAUAGAGAUCUUCGGAUCGUAAAACUCUGUUAUUAGGGAAGAACAAAUGUGUAAGUAACUAUGCACGUCUUGACGGUACCUAAUCAGAAAGCCACGGCUAACUACGUG
RNAcentral lists this ribosomal RNA (496 nucleotides) under uncultured bacterium. Its description in RNAcentral is "partial 16S ribosomal RNA". It matches the Rfam family "Bacterial small subunit ribosomal RNA", at positions 29 to 507 of the family's 1533-position model. The record is from RNAcentral.